Molecule: long non-coding RNA, 436 nt
Organism: Bradysia coprophila
Lineage: Eukaryota; Metazoa; Arthropoda; Insecta; Diptera; Sciaridae
Source: RefSeq, a predicted model, not a curated record
GCAGACGCAACGGUUUGCGCGGCAUUAGUGACGAAAAACUCGUACGUUGUGCAGAAAAUUUUCAAUUAUUUCCCCGGAGUGCAAUUGGAUUAUGCGAAAAUGAAUUCAAAAUUAUUUGCUAUUUGUGUACUAUUGGUGUUGGUGUCCGUCAUCUCACUAUCUCAGGGCAAUGCGGUCAACACACAAUUCGAUCAAAUCGAUAAUGUUGUGAGUGGACAAUCUGAAAGUCUUGUUCGUCAAAGACGGGACGUUUUGUGUGACGAGGCAAAGUGUGCGUUGGAAUGCAUUUCGAAGGGAAACUUACUCGGAGGAAGCUGUACCCUUUGGUUCUUCUGUUCAUGUAAAUAAUUAGUUCUUUUUUGUAAUUUUCGGUGAAAAAUUUCUAUUUUUGUCAAUUAUGAAGCAAUUAAUGUAAAUAAAGAAAAACGAAAACGUA